RNAcentral lists this ribosomal RNA (399 nucleotides) under uncultured bacterium. RNAcentral's name for it is "bacterial SSU rRNA". It matches the Rfam family "Bacterial small subunit ribosomal RNA", at positions 356 to 773 of the family's 1533-position model. The record is from RNAcentral.
GGGGAAUAUUGCACAAUGGGCGAAAGCCUGAUGCAGCAACGCCGCGUGAGCGAUGAAGGCCUUCGGGUCGUAAAGCUCUGUCCCAAGGGAAGAUAAUGACGGUACCUUGGGAGGAAGCCCCGGCUAACUACGUGCCAGCAGCCGCGGUAAUACGUAGGGGGCAAGCGUUAUCCGGAAUCACUGGGCGUAAAGGGUGCGUAGGCGGUCUUGCAAGCCAGAGGUGAAAGGCUAUGGCUCAACCAUAGUGAGCCUUUGGAACUGCCGGACUUGAGCACAGGAGAGGAAAGUGGAAUUCCUAGUGUAGCGGUGAAAUGCGUAGAUAUUAGGAGGAACACCAGUGGCGAAGGCGACUUUCUGGACUGUUACUGACGCUGAGGCACGAAAGCGUGGGGAGCGAAC